AACGAACGCUGGCGGCAUGCCUAACACAUGCAAGUCGAACGAAACCUUCGGGUCUAGUGGCGCACGGGUGCGUAACGCGUGGGAACCUGCCCUUAGGUUCGGAAUAACUCCCCGAAAGGGGUGCUAAUACCGGAUAAUGUCUUCGGACCAAAGAUUUAUCGCCUUUGGAUGGGCCCGCGUUGGAUUAGCUAGUUGGUAGGGUAAAAGCCUACCAAGGCGACGAUCCAUAGCUGGGCUGAGAGGAUGAUCAGCCACACUGGGACUGAGACACGGCCCAGACUCCUACGGGAGGCAGCAGUGGGGAAUAUUGGACAAUGGGCGAAAGCCUGAUCCAGCAAUGCCGGGUGAGUGAUGAAGGCCUUAGGGUUGUAAAGCUCUUUUAACCGGGAUGAUAAUGACAGUACCGGGAGAAUAAGCCCCGGCUAACUCCGUG
RNAcentral lists this ribosomal RNA (433 nucleotides) under uncultured bacterium. Its description in RNAcentral is "partial 16S ribosomal RNA". It matches the Rfam family "Bacterial small subunit ribosomal RNA", at positions 29 to 507 of the family's 1533-position model. The record is from RNAcentral.